RNAcentral lists this ribosomal RNA (273 nucleotides) under uncultured bacterium. RNAcentral's name for it is "partial 16S ribosomal RNA". The stretch from base 25 to 266 matches the Rfam family "Bacterial small subunit ribosomal RNA", at positions 105 to 347 of the family's 1533-position model. The record is from RNAcentral.
CCGGCCGGACCGGACCGGCACGGCGGNGGUAACACGUAUGCAACCUGCCCCUGUCAGGGGGACAACCCGCCGAAAGGCGGGCUAAACCCGCGUACAUGCCACCGGGGCAUCCCGGAGGCAGGAAAGGCUUCGGCCGGACAGGGAUGGGCAUGCGGCGCAUUAGGCAGUAGGCGGGGUAACGGCCCACCUAACCGACGAUGCGUAGGGGUUCUGAGAGGAAGGUCCCCCACACUGGUACUGAGACACGGACCAGACUCCUACGGAAGGCAGCAG